AUGCAGUAAAAUACCGUGGUUCCCAUCCUACACUCCAGAGGUGGAAAAGGCUCCGAUGGUGUGGGGAAGGGCUCGCUCACAACUCUAUAGUCUGAUUUCUUAACUGGAAUAGGGAGUCUUUAAAAAAAAAACCAAACCAAAACCUACAAUUUCAAACUGCUUCACUUGUGUGGUUUUUGUUUUGUCUCUUUCUUAAGUAUAGUGUAUGGACAGCGCCAUGGGUUAGGGAACACUUCAGCUUCGUCUUCAGAGACUUUUCGUAUGUAGCCUUCUGCUGAAGUCAAUGGGUGUGGAGCAUUGUUUUUCUCCAAAAAAGUCGCAUGUGGUUGCACAAUGAAGACACUGCUUAUUUGUGUAAUGCAAAUCUGUUCCUGCUUGUUGGUACAAAGUGCAAGCAGAGAGCAUCAAAGUGUGGAGACCUCACAGAUCCUGCAUGAACACUUGCCACCGAACCUCAGUGACAUCCUGCAUUAUGUCAGAAUAAAAGAUGACAUCACAGUUGGUCUGUGAGUGAAUGGGAUUUGAACUCAGGGUUGAAUGUUGCUGCCUGAACUGUUUGUGCUACUGAUGCUGAGCAUCCUUUGCCCUGCUAUUGUUUGUUUGUUUGUGUAUUUUUACAACUGCUGAGUUUAGUCUCUCAAAAGUUAAUUGUUUUAUCAGGAGGCAGUCAGAAUCAGCAAGAGUUUCCUGUUUCCAUGUCUUUCUGUUGAUUUCCUUUUUUGUUGAAACACAACUUUCUCUGUUGAAACACAACUUUCUCUGUUGAAACACAACUCAGUUGCUGCACUCUUGAGUUUCCCUCUAUUGCCUUAAAGUGGAGGGAGGGGGAACUGUCUGAAAUAGCCUGAUAUUCUCAAAGAAAUAUUGACAGUGGGGUCUGGUGGCUAAAUUGUUAUGAUAAGACACAAAUUCUUCAGCUGAUGCUGUUGAAAUCCGCUGACUUUUCUGUGCUCCUAAUAGAAGGCUUUAAAAUAUCCAGCUGCAGACUGAUCCUCUCCAAGCAUGUGACACUGACAUCAGUCCUAGAAGUGAGGCGUUGAACUGCCUCCAAAAAUGAGCUCAUUGGGUAAUAUUCAAUGCACUGAUUUAGCAAGAUAUUGGUUAAUUUGAUUACAUGGUCACCUGUACAUACUGUUUGGAAGAUGGGAAUUCAUUCCAAAUUUAGUUGCUCCAGAUACCGAUGUUAUAAAAAUCCUCUUGAUCAGAUGCUGUGCUCCCACUGUAUGCUGGGAGCUGGGCUUGGCAGAGCCUAUCUCUAAUUGCCACUAAUUUGCUCCAAGACUUGCCAGUUUCUUGGCUUUUCUUCUCCCUGCACCCCUCCCAAUAAGCUGUAGGGAAUAAGAGUGGGAUUCUGUCGUUAAGCCAUCCCUCUAAAGCCACUCAUAAAACUCGCUUGAUUUUCUUACGGCUCUCUUGCCUUUUUUAAAUGGCUGCAUUAAAACACAGCCGUGGCCUUUCCCAGGAGUUUGGGUAGUGGUCCAUCUUCAGCCUCACCCACCGUCCAAAGCAGAGGGACCAAUAUGAAAUUAAACCCUGGCAGAAGGGCCCUGGAGGCUUCCUCCCCUGAUGUAGCUUGAGGCCAGCAGUAACUGCAGCCUUCCUGUUACAACCCACACAAAGAGCAUGGAUUUGGGCAGCACAGGAGUGAUGCUGACCCCAAAUAAACGUACUUGCCCAUUGUUUUGUAAACUUGAAGAUAUUCUUUAUUUGCCUUUAAUUACAGCAGGAGUAUGUUCUAGAUGCUGCUGUCUGAGCACCUCAACAUACGUGUGAUUGUUUAUUUGAAACAUGAGCAUAAGAGAAACAGCGUGUUAGAAGAAAGGUUCAUGUGAAUUUGUGCAGGAGCAGUUUUGUCUCCCUCACCCCGCCCAGGAUUUUCUGCCUGUUACUGCACAUUGCAGGAUUGUUAGUUUUGGAUGCUGUUUCCUCCUGAAUGCAAGUCUUUAUGAAGCUGCCCAUAGUGUGGCUCUUUUCUCUCAAGAAACGCUGCUGCUGACUUAAGACAGAGGAAGAUGCUGUGUGUUACAGGACUGUAACCAUGUCUGCAUUUGCAAGCUGUUGUGCAACUGAAGAACUACAUUGUGCAAAACAGAGUGGAAAAACUGCUGCUGAAGUGCACAGGAAGUUGAGGCGAUGGGAAGCCCUAUGUUUAGAGCAAGAAGAGAAGCUGGGUUUGAAGAGCAAGAUAGGAAAACUCUGGUCCUGCAAGAGCAAAUGAUCCCUUAGAGCAGCCAAGGAGGCUGGUUGGUGUGAACUCUGUGCAAAGUUCAGUGGAGAGUUUGUGCUCCAGUGUCCCGGGCAAUGCUGCCUCUUCCUCCUUCUUGUUUACAAGAAGCUGGCAUGAUUUCAGAAUAAACUGCUGAAACAUCCUUGGUGGGGAGGAGGAUUGGGAUGACAAAAUACCUCUUUGCAUGUAGGAAGUUACUGCUACAGCAGUAACUGUUCAAGUUGGCUGAAUGGCUGCUGCCUGGGUUUGGUUAAUGUCAGGAAUUGUGCUGGUGGGAAGCGAAUCCCGGGGUGGGAAUGUGCAGUCCCCGCGGUGCCUCAGCAGUUCAUAGCGUUCUUCAGAUGCUGCCUCUGCAAAAGGAGGGAAUAAACUUCCGCUUUUCCCAGUAAAAUGCCUGUGGUUCAAGCAUCACAGGGUUGGUUUGGUCCAUCUUUAUUGAACAAUAACAAGAGUUGUGCAGAAAACACGCAGGGCACGGAAAUGGAGAGCUGAGCCCCAUCUACCCUCUGCUGCUGGAGGGCGGGAGGAGGUGGGGAAAGAUGGAAAAGUGGAAAACAGCUUUGCCUGAGCCUGUUUUGAUACUGAAGAGCUCUUUGCAGUGAUUUGAGAAGGGGGUGGGGAGAGAACCAGAUGCUCUUAGGAAGUUCAUACCAUUGUUAAUAAUGUAAUUCACAGAUGGUGGUGAAGGCCUUGAAGAGGCUUUCAUGCAGUACUUACGCUCUGUAACAGAUCAUCACAUAAGGGCUCACAAAUAGAGAUGACUUAAUCCCAAGGAUGAGUCUACAGUGAUCUGUUUGAUGGUGGCUCUGCAGAUCACUGCAACCUUUUUAAACAGCUGAGAGCCUUCCGGAUCUCUAAAUGUUGAGCACUAGAACUGGAUCAAUCCCUAAUUAAAUUGUCAGGAUAAAAUGUUAGUAUAGCUUUGAGACUUUUCCAAUGAAAGUAGCUCUCAU
This is a long non-coding RNA of Lepidothrix coronata (blue-crowned manakin), 3180 nucleotides long. RefSeq lists it as uncharacterized. The transcript has 2 exons. NCBI's taxonomy places the organism in Eukaryota, Metazoa, Chordata, Aves, Passeriformes, Pipridae. The record is from RefSeq and is a predicted model, not a curated record.